RNAcentral lists this ribosomal RNA (435 nucleotides) under Capnocytophaga gingivalis. Its description in RNAcentral is "bacterial SSU rRNA". It matches the Rfam family "Bacterial small subunit ribosomal RNA", at positions 28 to 466 of the family's 1533-position model. Lineage: Bacteria; Pseudomonadati; Bacteroidota; Flavobacteriia; Flavobacteriales; Flavobacteriaceae. The record is from RNAcentral.
GAUGAACGCUAGCGGCAGGCCUAACACAUGCAAGUCGAGGGAGAAGCCUUUCGGGGCAGAAACCGGCGCACGGGUGCGUAACGCGUAUGCAACCUACCUUUCACAGGGGGAUAGCCCGAAGAAAUUUGGAUUAAUACCCCAUAAUAUUGUUGGAUGGCAUCAUUUGACAAUUAAAACUGAGGUGGUGGAAGAUGGGCAUGCGUCCUAUUAGCUAGUUGGAGUGGUAACGGCACCCCAAGGCUACGAUAGGUAGGGGUCCUGAGAGGGAGAUCCCCCACACUGGUACUGAGACAGGGACCAGACUCCUACGGGAGGCAGCAGUGGGGAAUAUUGGUCAAUGGUCGGAAGACUGAACCAGCCAUGCCGCGUGCAGGAAGAAUGCCUUAUGGGUUGUAAACUGCUUUUAUAUGGGAAGAAUAAAGGUGUACGUGUACA